Rattus norvegicus (Norway rat) is the source of this 1536-nucleotide long non-coding RNA. RefSeq lists it as uncharacterized. The record is from RefSeq and is a predicted model, not a curated record. NCBI's taxonomy places the organism in Eukaryota, Metazoa, Chordata, Mammalia, Rodentia, Muridae.
CCAUACCUUUUAAUCCGGGUAUUUGCCACCGGAGCCCUCAAAGCUGCGAUGUAAUUAACACUAAGUAAUGCAGCCCAAGCAAGAGAGUUUGCAGGUGUGGAAAGGAGGAGGGGGUGGUGCUGCUCUGUGACUGUCACUAGGUUGAAAACCUCCUGCUUCUACUCCAUAGCACAGUUAAACACUAAGGUUUCACUGAGUGAGCACAUCCAGCUGACACCCACAUUAGAUCAUAUGGUAAUGAUACGUCUCUUGUACUGUAGCCAGAAACUUUAUCGGCCCCGUUCUUUCUCCCCCUCCACGUUUGCUUUAUUCCUUUCGCAUCCGCCCAGCAUUCCAAACUGCUUUUGUAGUCCAGUGGAGCAACUUGAUUUGAAAUUUGUCUUUUCUUUUUUUAAAGAUUAGAACUGAAGAGUUUGUCUCCCCACCCCACCCCCAACCCCAUUCCAGUCUCCACCUUUUCCCGCCUUGUUUGGGAUUUCAAAGGAUAUUCCUGAAGUCAGCCAGCAAAACCCAAAGGACCUGAAGACCUCGGAGCUUGCUGUCCUCACACCAAAGGUGGAAUUGGAAGGGAAAAAAGAAUGAUACAAUCCAGCUCGGUGGAAAUCCACUGAUGCUUGUUGUUCAAGAUUGCAAAUGGUUCAGUAAGAAGCAGCUGUGUCCAGGGCUCAGCAGAGUUUCCAGUCACGAUAUCGUUUGCCCAACUUAUUUUCCCAGUUGAGAUUUCUCAAGAGAUGUCUCAUGUCCAAAUGCAAGAUCCAUCAAGUUCAAAGUUUUUCAUGGACACUAGAAUUUUUUUAAUGGAAAGGAUUUACAUAAGCAAGACAUCCCUUACAUAGAAAUGCAGGGACAAAGUGUGGAGCAGAGACUGAAGGAAAGACCAUCCAGAGACUGCCCCACCUGGGGAUCCAUCCCAUCUGUAGACACCACACCCAGACACUACUGCUGAAGUCAAGGAGCGCUUGCUGACAGGAGCCUGGUAUAGCUGUCCUCUGAAAGGCUCUGCCAGAGCCUGACCAAUACAGAUGCGGAUGCUCACAACCAACCAUUGGACUGAGAUCUGGGACCCCAAAGGAGAUGUUAGGGCAAAGACUGACGGAGCUGAAGGGGUUUGCAGACCCAUAGGAAGAACAACAAUAUCAACCAACCAGAGCCUCCAGAACUCCUAGGGACUAAACCACUACCAAGAAGUACAUAUGGGGGACUCAUGGCUCCAGCUGGAUAUGUAGCAGAGGAUGGCCUUAUCGGGCAUCAUUAGGAGGGCAGGCCGUUGGUCCUUUGGAGGCUCAAUGAACCAGCCUAGGGGAAUGCUAGGGUUCUGAGGCAGGAGUGGGUGAGUGGGUGGGUAGUGGAGCAACCUAAUAGAGGCAUGGGGAUAGGGAGGGAGUAGUGGGUUUGUGGAGGGGGAACUUGGCAAGGGGAUAACAGUUGAAAUGUCAAUAAAUGAAAUAACCAAGAAAAAAGAAAGAAGAAAUCAGCUGUGUUUGGAUUGCAUUGCUUCAAAAAAAUGGUCCCAAAAUAAAUGUGUAUAGGUUUGAA